ACUCAAAUGAAUUGACGGGGACCCGCACAAGCGGUGGAGCAUGUGGUUUAAUUCGACAUUCCGCGAAAAACCUUACCCGCUUUUGACAUAGGGAUCGAGGAUAUGAGAGAUCAAAUCCAUCGGUUCGGCCGGAUCCUAUACAGGUGCUGCAUGGCUGUCGUCAGCUCGUGUCGUGAGAUGUUGGGUUAAGUCCCGCAACGAGCGCAACCCUUGUUCGUAGUUGCCAUCACGUUAUGGUGGGCACUUUACGAAAACCGCCACUGAUAAAGUGGAGGAAGGUAGGGAUGACGUCAAGUCCUCAUGGCCCUUAUGGGCGGGGCUACACACGUGCUACAAUGGUGGUGACAGAGAGAAGCAAGCAGGCAACUGUGAGCAAACCUCGAAAAGCCAUCUCAGUUCGGAUUGUACUCUGCAACUCGAGUGCAUGAAGUUGGAAUCGCUAGUAAUCGCGAAUCAGCGUGUCGCGGUGAAUACGUUCUCGGGUCUUGUACACACCGCCCGU
This 502-nucleotide ribosomal RNA is filed under the name uncultured bacterium. RNAcentral's name for it is "bacterial SSU rRNA". It matches the Rfam family "Bacterial small subunit ribosomal RNA", at positions 899 to 1397 of the family's 1533-position model. The record is from RNAcentral.